RNAcentral lists this ribosomal RNA (433 nucleotides) under uncultured bacterium. Its description in RNAcentral is "partial 16S ribosomal RNA". It matches the Rfam family "Bacterial small subunit ribosomal RNA", at positions 29 to 507 of the family's 1533-position model. The record is from RNAcentral.
AACGAACGCUGGCGGCAGGCCUAACACAUGCAAGUCGAGCGAGUCCUGCGGGCCUGGUCGUGCACUGGGGCGCAACCCGUGGGAACCUGCCCUUGGAUUUGGAAGAUCGUGCCGGAAGGCGUCCUGAUACGGGCGAAUGUCUCCCGUCCGAAGAUUGAGCGCCCUUGGAGGUGCUUCCGUUGGAUUAGCUAGUUAUGAGGGUAAAAGCCUACCAAGGCGAGGUGCGAUAGCUGGGAUGAGAGGCUGGGCAGCCACACUGGGACUGGGACACGGUCCAGAAUACUACGGGAGGCAGCAGUGGGUGAUACUGGAAAACGGGCGAAGGCAUGAUCCAGCUAUGACGCGUGAGUGCUGAAGGUCUUAGGGUUGUAAAGUUCUUUUACCCGGGAUGAUAAUGACGGUACCGGGAGAAUAAGCUCCGGCUAACUACGUG